Molecule: long non-coding RNA, 198 nt
Organism: Protopterus annectens (West African lungfish)
Lineage: Eukaryota; Metazoa; Chordata; Ceratodontiformes; Protopteridae
Exons: 2
Source: RefSeq, a predicted model, not a curated record
CACAGUGCAGUGCACGUCCUCAAGCAAAAGCACCAUGUAAAGGCUGCCUCUGAACAGUGGAAGGUGCACUUCAUGGACCUCAACUGUGUCUGUCUGUCAGGUGGAUGUAGCCCUGCAGUCCUUUUCUACAAAAGGUAUAGCAGUGUGGUAACACACUGACUGUGUCAUAUCCAGGGUACAGCUGUACACAAUUAACAG